UGGUACCCAAAACCAGGUCUGAGGCACAGUCAGUGAAUACCUGUUUAAUGAAUGCAUGCAUGAAUGAAUGAAUGGAUGAUCCAGCUCUUCCUGGAGCAGGCACGACUUCCACAGAAACGGAGCAAACGCGAGCCGUAAGCAGAAAGAACGGUUAUAGCUCCAGCGCUGAAUGAGACAUCUUUGAUUCUGUGGUGAUGCGGACUUUGUGCCUCUCUGUGAGGAAACACUUUGUUCCAAUGACGCAAUUUUCCUCACACUCCGGAAGUGUCCUGCACUGCCAGAAUCGCCCAGCUUCCCGGCACACCUAUCAGCCAGUCGUUCCCAGCACUGCCCAGUAUGCAGCCUCCAGGCAGAGGGCCUGGAUGUCUUGGCAGCCCACCCCAAAGCCCAAACUCCUGCCCGCAUGCUGGGAAGGUGAGCCCUUGCCUGGAGAGCCCAGCAGGGGAAAUAGAAGGAGGGAAGGAGGCCUGCUGCUUCCCCCGAGCUCUGCUCUGCGGCUGCAGGAAGACCCGCAGAGGCCCUGGGCAGCAGAACUGUGGACAGCAAGGCUGGAGUUGUGAAACCCAACCACUCAGCUGGAUUCCAGAAGCUCAGGUGGUGGUGACUAAACCUGGCCUUACUCAAAAUGCAUGACUUUAUUGUCUUUCAAUGUAUUUUCAUCCUCUCCAUUACUAUUUUCUUUUCUUCGGAAAAAAGCAACAGAUCUUUGUAAAAAAAAAUACGU
Molecule: long non-coding RNA, 724 nt
Filed under: Pan troglodytes (chimpanzee)
Lineage: Eukaryota; Metazoa; Chordata; Mammalia; Primates; Hominidae
Description: lincRNA
Source: RNAcentral